This 441-nucleotide ribosomal RNA is filed under the name Entomobrya dorsosignata. RNAcentral's name for it is "eukaryotic LSU rRNA". It matches the Rfam family "Eukaryotic large subunit ribosomal RNA", at positions 829 to 1266 of the family's 3401-position model. The record is from RNAcentral. Lineage: Eukaryota; Metazoa; Arthropoda; Collembola; Entomobryomorpha; Entomobryidae.
AACUAUGCCUGGUCAGAACGAAGUCAGGGGAAACCCUGAUGGAGGUUCGUAGCGAUUCUGACGUGCAAAUCGAUCGUCGGAACUGGGUAUAGGGGCGAAAGACUAAUCGAACCAUCUAGUAGCUGGUUCCCUCCGAAGUUUCCCUCAGGAUAGCUGGCGCUUUUUGUAACCAGUCUCAUCCGGUAAAGCGAAUGAUUAGAGGCCUUGGGGCCGAAACGACCUCAACCUAUUCUCAAACUUUAAAUGGGUGAGAAGUCAAGCUUGCUUAAUCGAAGCUCUGACAAUGGAUGGUGAGUGCCAAGUGGGCCACUCUUGGUAAGCAGGACUGGCGCUGUGGGAUGAACCAAACGCUGGGUUAAGGCGCCCGAAUCGACGCUCAUCAGAUCCCAUAAAAGGCGUUGGUUGCUUAAGACAGCAGGACGGUGGCCAUGGAAGUCGGAA